RNAcentral lists this long non-coding RNA (1434 nucleotides) under Salvator merianae (Argentine black and white tegu). Its description in RNAcentral is "lncRNA (ENSSMRG00000020344.1)". The record is from RNAcentral. Lineage: Eukaryota; Metazoa; Chordata; Lepidosauria; Squamata; Teiidae.
GUGCCCCACGUCGUUUGCCUUCUGUACUAAUAUCCUCCACUUGGCCACUUGGGGGCCAGCCUUCUUUACUUGGAUUUAAUUAUUUGUCGCUUUGCUCUCUGUGAGGUGCAGGGGACCGGCGGCUGAUCCUAUCNCAUCUGUCUCCUAUCCUCUCGUGCAAUGAGCANGCUGUGAAAACUGCCAUCCNAGGAACGNUUNCUGGGGUCCUGGAACGGUGCUAUAAAGUGACACAAGAGCAGCAGAAACUGGGUGUCUCUUUCCACAUCAUGGCCGAAACCAUUUCCAGCAUUGUUUCGAGCAGCACUAACAGUGAAUUCAGAAGAAAGUGUCUCAGAACUUUGCAGGUUGCAGAUACCCAGGAGCUCCAAGGAACUAUCAGAGACACCUUCAACAAAGUUGUUUGCAAAAGACGGAAGCCCAGCAGUGCAUGUGAUGGCAGAAAGGUGCUGCCUGAAAACAACCAACUAAUGGCACAGCAUCCAAGUACAGACUUANUUUCACACUCCCUUCCCCAGGAAGCAUUACACUCCGUCGAUUUUGAGGGGAUCCGGGGAAAAGGAAAAGCUGGCUUUAAAGGGGAAGGUCUGUUGCUGAACAGCUGUGAUUGCCAUGGAAAGAAGCACAAGCAUCUGCCUGUGGAAGAUGCAGAUGUGAACGACUCCAGGGGGGCUGCGAAGAGAAAAAGCCCCUUCGUGCAAUCAAACGCUUCUCCGAUCUCUUUAUUCUCAAGCCCAAGCAAAGAGAAAGGGACUGAUUUCCAGGAUAGAAACCCGGGCAGAAACGCAGCUUCGUCAUCAGAAUGCAGAGCUAAGACUCACGAAGACGAAGGGCAGGUUUGUCAAGGGCCAUGCCAUUUUUCUGGCGAUUAUUAACUGGUGCCUUUCAGAUCCUUGAGUACCCACGAGUGCUGCCGGCCCAUCUGUACUUGUAAAGCAAGAUCAGGCUGAAGGAACUUUGGCAGCGCGUAGAAACUGCAGGGGAGUUUUUGCAGGAUCNUGGUUUGCUGGGUGACAAAAUUACGUCGGUCACAGAAAUCUCUGACUUGGAGGCGCACUCAGAAAUGCCUGGCACCGGUGCAGUGUUGCCACACACCAGCCAAAAUUAUUAGCCUGGCCAUAGAAUAAGCCUCAAANAAGCCAAGUGUGACAAUNAGUUGGCUGAUUUUUGGCAAACCCGCACAGCGUGGACGUCCCUGCUUCAGUAUAGGGACGUCCCUGCGACCCACUUAGGAAAUAAGCGUUUCUGGCAGACGGAGGUCUCUUGAUUUAGGGCCGCUGGAGACCUUAAUACUGCCUCCUCCCCUCAUCGCGAUCUGCUUCGGUUUGCUUUCAGGAGGAUCUGUGGUGGGACCAGGAAGCCUUAAAUCUGGCCAAGUGGAUCUGAAAUGGACCCGCUGCUUUGCGCCCCAAAUAAAGCCGCGUUGGGAGUCGGACA